CUCAGGACGAACGCUGGCGGCGUGCCUAAUACAUGCAAGUCGAGCGGACAGAUGGGAGCUUGCUCCCUGAUGUUAGCGGCGGACGGGUGAGUAACACGUGGGUAACCUGCCUGUAAGACUGGGAUAACUCCGGGAAACCGGGGCUAAUACCGGAUGGUUGUUUGAACCGCAUGGUUCAGACAUAAAAGGUGGCUUCGGCUACCACUUACAGAUGGACCCGCGGCGCAUUAGCUAGUUGGUGAGGUAACGGCUCACCAAGGCGACGAUGCGUAGCCGACCUGAGAGGGUGAUCGGCCACACUGGGACUGAGACACGGCCCAGACUCCUACGGGAGGCAGCAGUAGGGAAUCUUCCGCAAUGGACGAAAGUCUGACGGAGCAACGCCGCGUGAGUGAUGAAGGUUUUCGGAUCGUAAAGCUCUGUUGUUAGGGAAGAACAAGUGCCGUUCAAAUAGGGCGGCACCUUGACGGUACCUAACCAGAAAGCCACGGCUAACUACGUGCCAGCAGCCGCGGUAAUACGUAGGUGGCAAGCGUUGUCCGGAAUUAUUGGGCGUAAAGGGCUCGCAGGCGGUUUCUUAAGUCUGAUGUGAAAGCCCCCGGCUCAACCGGGGAGGGUCAUUGGAAACUGGGGAACUUGAGUGCAGAAGAGGAGAGUGGAAUUCCACGUGUAGCGGUGAAAUGCGUAGAGAUGUGGAGGAACACCAGUGGCGAAGGCGACUCUCUGGUCUGUAACUGACGCUGAGGAGCGAAAGCGUGGGGAGCGAACAGGAUUAGAUACCCUGGUAGUCCACGCCGUAAACGAUGAGUGCUAAGUGUUAGGGGGUUUCCGCCCCUUAGUGCUGCAGCUAACGCAUUAAGCACUCCGCCUGGGGAGUACGGUCGCAAGACUGAAACUCAAAGGAAUUGACGGGGGCCCGCACAAGCGGUGGAGCAUGUGGUUUAAUUCGAAGCAACGCGAAGAACCUUACCAGGUCUUGACAUCCUCUGACAAUCCUAGAGAUAGGACGUCCCCUUCGGGGGCAGAGUGACAGGUGGUGCAUGGUUGUCGUCAGCUCGUGUCGUGAGAUGUUGGGUUAAGUCCCGCAACGAGCGCAACCCUUGAUCUUAGUUGCCAGCAUUCAGUUGGGCACUCUAAGGUGACUGCCGGUGACAAACCGGAGGAAGGUGGGGAUGACGUCAAAUCAUCAUGCCCCUUAUGACCUGGGCUAC
This 1211-nucleotide ribosomal RNA is filed under the name Bacillus sp. UJ03. Its description in RNAcentral is "bacterial SSU rRNA". It matches the Rfam family "Bacterial small subunit ribosomal RNA", at positions 23 to 1217 of the family's 1533-position model. The record is from RNAcentral. Lineage: Bacteria; Bacillati; Bacillota; Bacilli; Caryophanales; Bacillaceae.